This 69-nucleotide transfer RNA is filed under the name Bos taurus (domestic cattle). It matches the Rfam family "tRNA". Rfam says of the family: Transfer RNA (tRNA) molecules are approximately 80 nucleotides in length. Their secondary structure includes four short double-helical elements and three loops (D, anti-codon, and T loops). Further hydrogen bonds mediate the characteristic L-shaped molecular structure. tRNAs have two regions of fundamental functional importance: the anti-codon, which is responsible for specific mRNA codon recognition, and the 3' end, to which the tRNAs corresponding amino acid is attached (by aminoacyl-tRNA synthetases). tRNAs cope with the degeneracy of the genetic code in two manners: having more than one tRNA (with a specific anti-codon) for a particular amino acid; and 'wobble' base-pairing, i.e. permitting non-standard base-pairing at the 3rd anti-codon position. Lineage: Eukaryota; Metazoa; Chordata; Mammalia; Artiodactyla; Bovidae. The record is from Rfam by way of RNAcentral. RNAcentral also lists the same sequence under 4 other names.
CCUGGUAGCUCAACUGGUAAAGAAUCUGCCUGUAAUGCAGGAGACCCUGGUUCGAUUCCUGGGUCAGGA